RNAcentral lists this long non-coding RNA (2176 nucleotides) under Malus domestica (apple). Its description in RNAcentral is "long non-coding RNA (MDOM_LNC007902)". Lineage: Eukaryota; Viridiplantae; Streptophyta; Magnoliopsida; Rosales; Rosaceae. The record is from RNAcentral.
GGAGAGAAGAUAUUGACAAGUUUAAGAUAAAGCAAUUCCAUUUCUUAUUCAUCACUAACAUUUGAGUCGAACACCUUAAGCUGAAAGUAAUAGCUUAGUUCUAAAUACACAGGGUAAUAAUUGACGGUGCAGCUAUCCACAUCUCAAGCACCCUUCUUAUCAACAAUUUGGUUUCCUCACAACGAGAACGAGGUGUUCAGAUUCCUGAAUUCAGCGUUUUACAAUCUUCGAAGAAACCUGGGUUGACAAACCAAUAUUAAUCAAUACCCAAAAAACACGUCGGAUGCAUGCACUGUUUACCUUAUAAACAAAAGCUUCUUGGGACAAACUACAAGUAAAAGUUGAAAACUCAGUUUUGUUGAGUAACUUAUAUUAACUUUCCGGCAAAAGGAUUCAUUGUUUUCGGUCACAAUACAAGUUCCACGUAUAAACAACAAAGAAAAAUUGCGGGGACUAUGAUCUUCCUUUUUUCCUUCAUUUUUAAGCUAUUCUCGUGUGUAUCCAGUAAUUUUCCACUUCAAGUGAAGAGGCUAAUUAACUAAGCACAAAUAUUUCUUAAGCAUGUGAGGGCAUUACUGGCAGCAGAAACAUUAAAAGUUAAAGCAGCAAAGCGGAUCCCAAAUAUUUAUCUUUGCUCAUUCAAAUAAGGCAACAGAUAAUUUGACGUUCAUGGAGCCUAGGUAGUAGAGCAACAAUCAAACAUAACGCAAGUUAGCAUGGUUGAGGUCCUUGAGGAAUUACAGCAGAGUACCAACCACUCAGUACUCAGGCACAUUGCGAGUGGCAACCACAUCAAAAUAUGACCAUUCUGUGUUCUAAUGAUUAUUUAACGAACUUCAUAAAUAAAAAUUAACCAUGUGUGGGCAUUUAUGGCAGCAGAAGCAUUACAAGCUUAAGCUGCAAAGUGAAUUCCAACGUCUAUUUUUGCACAUUGAGACUAGGCAACUAACAAUUUGAUGAUCACAGAGCCUUGCUCUGGUGCAAUGUCAAACCUAAUGCUAGUUCACAAGACAGACGAACUACAAACCGCUUACUUAGAUUGCUAGUGUGGCAACUACGUCAAGAACAUUGCUCCAGAACUGAGCUUCGAGCGUGUGAUUUUCUGUUCUAGUGCAGUAAAUGGAUAGAAUAUCCCUUCACAGACAAUAAUGACUGAACAAUGUGUGGGUUUUUACUGGCAGCAGAACACUCGAAAUUUAAGCUGCAAAGCGGCUCCCAACAUCGAUUUUGCACAUUGAAAUUAGGUACCCAAUAAUUCCAUAUGGUCGUGGAGCCUAUUUAAUAGUGCAACAAUCAAACCUAUACCAAUUUACCAUUGAGUUAAAUUGGAUUGGAGAAACAUUCAACAACAACCAAGUCUUAUCCACUAAAUACAGUCGGCUAUAUGAAUCAUAAACCGUUACCAUGCUAGGUUUUACACCAAGUCUUUCAUUAACGUACUCCAUAUUUUUCUUUAUGUCUCUUCAAAACUACAGCUGUAUUCAUUUGAAUAACAUUUAAACAAAUCUUGAAUAGGGUUAGAAAUGCAAAAAAAUUGGAAUGUUUGCUUUAAAUUAAAAUUUUGGGGGCACAAAUAUAUCGAAAUCAAACAAUUAUUCUGCAAAUUCAACAAAGAUUGUAAAUUUAUAGACUGAUAAAACGAUACCUUUGGAAUCUGAAUUUGGGGAAGUAGUCCAAAACCCUAAUUUGAGCCGCCAAGAGGGCAAUGGACUGAGAGAACCGUUGGGUUAUAUAUACAGGGGAAAAUGGUAUUUCUUGCCUUGCCCAUUGAACUUUUAUGCGGUUGCCAAUUUGCUCUCUAAAAUUUAAUUUUAGCUGAUUACCGAUUUGAACUUUUUUUAAUUAACCAUUUUCUUAUUGAACUUUAAUUUUAGCCGAUUACCCCCUAACUUCUAUAAAUAGCCAAUCCCCCCCCCCCCCCCAGUGUUGGAUUUCAAAACUUUCAUUCAGAUUUUCAUCCAUCCAAUUUGUCAUCCUUUUUGCCCUCAACAGUUGUCAUGUGUUGUUUCCAAAUUGGAUGAACAACGUCAAGGAGAAUUGGUUAUUUAUAAAAGUUCAGGGGCAAUUUGCUAAAAUUAAAGUUUAAGGGGAAAUUGGCUAAUUAUAAAUUUUCAAGAGGGUAAUCGGCUAAAAUUAAAAUUCAAGAAGAAAAUUGGCAGCUCCAUACAAGUUCAGG